This 468-nucleotide ribosomal RNA is filed under the name uncultured bacterium. RNAcentral's name for it is "partial 16S ribosomal RNA". It matches the Rfam family "Bacterial small subunit ribosomal RNA", at positions 28 to 507 of the family's 1533-position model. The record is from RNAcentral.
GACGAACGCCGGCGGCGUGCUUAACACAUGCAAGUCGAACGGAAAGGCCCUGCUUUUGUGGGGUGCUCGAGUGGCGAACGGGUGAGUAACACGUGAGUAACCUGCCCUUGACUUUGGGAUAACUUCAGGAAACUGGGGCUAAUACCGGAUAGGAGCUCCUGCUGCAUGGUGGGGGUUGGAAAGUUUCGGCGGUUGGGGAUGGACUCGCGGCUUAUCAGCUUGUUGGUGGGGUAGUGGCUUACCAAGGCUUUGACGGGUAGCCGGCCUGAGAGGGUGACCGGCCACAUUGGGAAUGAGAUACGGCCCAGACUCCUACGGGAGGCAGCAGUGGGGAAUAUUGCACAAUGGGCGGAAGCCUGAUGCAGCAACGCCGCGUGCGGGAUGAAGGCCUUCGGGUUGUAAACCGCUUUCGCCUGUGACGAAGCGUGAGUGACGGUAAUGGGUAAAGAAGCACCGGCUAACUAAGUG